Molecule: ribosomal RNA, 486 nt
Filed under: uncultured bacterium
Lineage: Bacteria
Description: partial 16S ribosomal RNA
Rfam family: Bacterial small subunit ribosomal RNA
Source: RNAcentral
GAUGAACGCUGGCGGCGUGCCUAACACAUGCAAGUCGAACGCUGGAAAUCUAGCUUGCUAGAUUGAAGGAGUGGCGAACGGGUGAGUAAUACAUAAGCAACCUACCCACGAAGUCUGGGAUAAUCUCUGGAAACGGGGACUAAUACCGGAUAGGUAAUCGGAAGGCAUCUUCUGAUUAUUAAAUGUUAAAAACACUGGUGGAUGGGCUUAUGGCGCAUUAGUUAGUUGGUGAGGUAACGGCCCACCAAGACGAUGAUGCGUAGCCGGCCUGAGAGGGUGAAGGGCGACAUUGGGACUGAGACACGGCCCAGACACCUACGGGAGGCAGCAGUAGGGAAGUUUCGGCAAUGGGGGAAACCCUGACCGAGCAACGCCGCGUGAGUGAUGACGGCCUUCGGGAUGUAAGGCUCUGUUGUAAGGGAAGAACGGUAGAUAGAGAAUAUCUAAAUGACGGUACCUUACCAGAAAGCCACGGCUAACUACGUG